This 85-nucleotide transfer RNA is filed under the name Bacillota bacterium. RNAcentral describes it as "tRNA-Leu". It matches the Rfam family "tRNA". From Rfam's summary of the family: Transfer RNA (tRNA) molecules are approximately 80 nucleotides in length. Their secondary structure includes four short double-helical elements and three loops (D, anti-codon, and T loops). The record is from RNAcentral. RNAcentral also lists the same sequence under 1 other name. Lineage: Bacteria; Bacillati; Bacillota.
GCGAGGGUGGCGGAACUGGCAGACGCGCAAGAUUUAGGAUCUUGUGUCGAAAGGCGUGGGGGUUCGAGUCCCUUCCCUCGCACCA